AGCUAGCAGAUGAAUCGCAAAUAGGACGAAAUGCGCAUCCUUGCU
RNAcentral lists this non-coding RNA (45 nucleotides) under Trichobilharzia regenti. The record is from RNAcentral. Lineage: Eukaryota; Metazoa; Platyhelminthes; Trematoda; Strigeidida; Schistosomatidae.